GCUGAAGAAACGUAGCAUUUUAAAAGAAGUCCCUCUGUUUUGUGCUCAGCUUGAACCAGAGAACGCCGGCGCUUUGUGCCAGAACAAGAAAAUUUACUUAUUUUAAAAGCUGAAAGAGUCAGAGCACCUCUCUCAAACA
Molecule: long non-coding RNA, 139 nt
Organism: Thalassophryne amazonica
Lineage: Eukaryota; Metazoa; Chordata; Actinopteri; Batrachoidiformes; Batrachoididae
Exons: 3
Source: RefSeq, a predicted model, not a curated record